UACGUAGGGGGCAAGCGUUGUCCGGAUUUAUUGGGCGUAAAGAGCUCGUAGGCGGUUUGUCGUGUCGGCCGUGAAAUCUCCACGCUUAACGUGGAGCGUGCGGUCGAUACGGGCAGACUUGAGUUCGGUAGGGGAGACUGGAAUUCCUGGUGUAGCGGUGAAAUGCGCAGAUAUCAGGAGGAACACCGGUGGCGAAGGCGGGUCUCUGGGCCGAUACUGACGCUGAGGAGCGAAAGCGUGGGGAGCGAACAGG
This 253-nucleotide ribosomal RNA is filed under the name uncultured bacterium. Its description in RNAcentral is "partial 16S ribosomal RNA". It matches the Rfam family "Bacterial small subunit ribosomal RNA", at positions 524 to 776 of the family's 1533-position model. The record is from RNAcentral.